CCUGGUUGAUCCUGCCAGUGGCUUGUCUCAAAGAUUAAGCAAUGCAUGUGUAAGCAUACACGGCAGGUGCAGUGAAAUUGCGAAUGGCUCAUUAAAUAAGUUAUGGUUCCUUUGAUCGCUCCAUCUGUUAACUUGGAUAGCUGUGGUAAUUCUAAAGCUAAUACAUGCUGACAAGAGUUGACCUCCCAGGAUGUGUGCAUUUAUCAGACCAAGACCAAUCUGGGCUUUCCCAGCUGCUUUGGCGACUCUAGAUAAACUUGUGCAAGUCGCACAUCUGUGUGACAGCGACGAUACAUUCAGAUUUCUGCCCUAUAAACUUUCAAUGGUACUUUAUGUGCCUAUAAUAGUGACCAUGGGUAACAUAAAAUCAUUGUUUGAGUCCAGAAAGGGCGCCUAAGAAAUGGCUACCACAUACAUGCAAGGCAGCAGGUGUGCAAAUUACCAACUUCCGACUCGGGAUGUAGUGAUGAAAAUUAGCCUUUGAGGCCCUGUAAAUGUAAUGAGUACACUUUAAUUCUUUUAAUGAUGAUCCAUCAGACGAGAAGUCUGGUGCCAGCAGCCGUCGUGGUAUACAGUUGUUCUGCUGCCAUUUAUUUUUUUAUGAGAUUUUUAAAGAAAAAUAAACAUUGAAAAAAUAAAGGGGGUAAGGUGAUAAAAAGGGUAGGAGAUCGGGACUAAAUAGAGAAAAGCUUGGGGUGGGGGACCACCCCAAGUAUAUAAAACAAAAAUGUAGAUGAGUUUCUUUUGAUGACAGAUUGUCAUUAAAAAACUAAUUGAAAAAAAUGGCAGGAAAAGAACAUAGAUCUGCUGUGGUAAUUCCAGGUCAAAUAGCGUAUAUUAAAGUUGCUGCACUUAAAAAGCUUGUAGUUGGAUCUUGGGAUGAAGCUGGCGGGCCGUCGUGAGGCGAGCUACCACCUGACCCAGCCCCUGCCUCUCAGGGCCCCCUUGAUGCUUUUCACUGAGUGUCCUAGAGUUUUCAAAGCAAGCCAGUCACCUGAAUACUUCAGCUAGGAAUAAUGGAAUAGGAGCUUUGUUCUAUUUUGGUGGUUUUCUGGGGCCAUGAUUAAGAGGGACGACUAGGGGCAUUCGUAUUGCGCAGAUAGAGGUGACAUUUUUGGGCAAGUGAAAGACAAACCAAAGAGAAAGCAUUUGGCAAGAAGGUUUUCAUGAAUGAAUAACAAAAGUCAGAGUUUCGAAGACGAUCAGAUACUGUCGUAAAUUCGACCAUAAACGAUUCUGACUAGCGAUCCGGCAGCAUUAUUCCCAUGACCCGCUGAGCAGCUUCCGAGAAACCAAAGUCUUUGUGUUCCAGGGGGGAGCAUGGUUGCAAAGCUAAAACUUAAAGGAACCAGUAAUGCAGCCUGUGACUUAAUUUUACUCAACACAGGAAACAUCACUCGGCCCAGAAACAGAAAGGAUUGACAGGUUGAUAGUUUUUUCCUGAUUCUGUAGGAGGUGGUGCAUGGCUGUUCUUAGUUGGUGGAGUGAUUUGCCUUGCUAAUUCCGAUAACGCACGAAUUCCACCAUGCUAAUGAGUUAUGCGACCCCCAGCGGUGUUCAACUUCUUAGAGAGAGCAGUGGCGUUCAGCCAGACGAGAGCUAGCAAAAACAGGUCUGUGAUGCCCUUAGAUGUCCGCGGCUGCAGACGUGUUAAACUGAACUGGAUCAGCAUUUUAUCUACCCUUCACAGAAAGUGGGGGUAACCCACUGAACCCUGUUCAUGAUAGGGAUUGGGAAUUGCAAUUAUUUCCCAUGAACAAUAAAAUGUCCAGUAAGUGCGUGUCAGAAGCUUGCAUUGAUUAAGUCCCUGUUCUUUGUACACACCACCUGUCUCUACUACCGAUUUGAUGGUUUAGUGAGGUCAUUGGAUUGGCAUGCCGGGAUCGACAACAGCUCUGGCGGAGCGCCGAGAAAACAUUCAAACUUGACUAUAUAGAGGAAGUAAAAGUCAUGACAAGGUUUCCGUAGGUGAACCUGUGAAAG
Molecule: ribosomal RNA, 1983 nt
Filed under: Ambystoma mexicanum (axolotl)
Lineage: Eukaryota; Metazoa; Chordata; Amphibia; Caudata; Ambystomatidae
Description: SSU rRNA
Rfam family: Eukaryotic small subunit ribosomal RNA
Source: RNAcentral